CAAACACAUAACGAGCACAGCGCGGAAUUCCCUCAAGUGCUUAAUGCCAGCAAUUAAGUUUUCCGGAAGAGCCGAACACAGGGAGCUCGCGCUGUCUGUGGACUCCCGAGUCGGCCCCACUCUCACGGGUGACGCCGCCAUGACCCUGAUGCCGUCACGUCACCCGCGCUCUGCCGUGAUCGGCUGAGACGUUCAGUAAAUGUUAACCGAGAGCAGCCGACGUGCACCCUCGUGCUGCGGUGCGGCGGCGGCGCGUGGCGGCGGCGCGUGGCGGCGCUCCUCUCCUGCUCCCCGAACAAAGGUGUUCUAGAGCCCGAACAGGCAGCUGCAUCGUCUUCGGCGUGUUCAGAAUUCCCCCCGGAGGAUCCACGUACGCCGGAGUUAAACUAAACGAGCCCCAGUGUAAUUAUUGACCGCAGAAUAGAUGGUCUGACUGCAAAUGUGCCGCUUUCCCACGUUGGGCUCACGCUGUUACUCACUGUAAAUGUAAGAUUCACGCAACGUCAAAAUCUGGAUUCCUCUUUGAGAUUUGGCUAAAUAAUCUCUUUUGCUGCCAUCAUGUGGUCUGAGGCAAUAAUCACAGAACAUGCAGAGGCUGGAGAAGCACCUGAACAAGACCUCAAGGCAAUGCAGGCGUCUGCCGUUGGGAUCCGAGGGGGGGCUGUGGUUUAGAAUAAUACUAAUUUGCUGAGAGGACAUGGAGGAGCGCUCGAUGAGGCGUCGUCUGAGUUCUGCCAGGGAGGAAAAGCAUCCUGGAUGAUGAUGAUGAUGAUGAUGAUGGACCCACUACUGUACAUGGUUUCAGUGUUUGUCCAGUGAAUCUGAAAAUGCCUGGCCCAGGGGGCGUGAACGAGCCGAUGCCGGGGCUCUGCUUCCUCCCGGCCCGGCCUCGCUGCACGCUUCCUCCCGGGCCGGCCCACUUCACGCCGCGGAGCCGGCGCCCUGCAGACAUCGCUCGCUCUCACUAGCGCUUUGUGCUACGUAGCCAAAAGCAGCACUGAGCUUCUAUUGUGCACGUAAGCAGAGAGUUUAUGGUUCAGUGGCGUGUGUGUGUGUGUGUGUGUGUGUGUGUGUGUGUGUGUGUGUGUGUG
Long non-coding RNA from Betta splendens (Siamese fighting fish), 1091 nucleotides. RefSeq lists it as uncharacterized. The transcript is spliced from 3 exons. The record is from RefSeq and is a predicted model, not a curated record. NCBI's taxonomy places the organism in Eukaryota, Metazoa, Chordata, Actinopteri, Anabantiformes, Osphronemidae.